GAUGAACGCUAGCGGCAGGCUUAAUACAUGCAAGUCGAGGGGCAGCAGUUUUGUAGCAAUACAGAAGCUGGCGACCGGCAAACGGGUGCGGAACACGUACGCAACCUUCCUCUAACUGGAAGAUAGCCCACCGAAAGGUGGAUUAAUACUCCAUAGUAUAUUGAAAAGGCAUCUUUUUGAUAUUAAAGCUCCGGCGGUUAGAGAUGGGCGUGCGUCUGAUUAGGUAGUUGGCGGGGUAACGGCCCACCAAGCCUACGAUCAGUAGCUGAUGUGAGAGCAUGAUCAGCCACACGGGCACUGAGACACGGGCCCGACUCCUACGGGAGGCAGCAGUAAGGAAUAUUGGUCAAUGGACGCAAGUCUGAACCAGCCAUGCCGCGUGGAGGAUGAAGGCCCUCUGGGUUGUAAACUUCUUUUCUUUGGGACGAAACCCCUGUUUCUACGGGGACUGACGGUACCAGAGGAAUAAGCACCGGCUAACUCCGUGCCAGCCGCCGCAGUAA
This 503-nucleotide ribosomal RNA is filed under the name uncultured bacterium. RNAcentral's name for it is "partial 16S ribosomal RNA". It matches the Rfam family "Bacterial small subunit ribosomal RNA", at positions 28 to 523 of the family's 1533-position model. The record is from RNAcentral.